GACGAACGCUGGCGGCGUGCUUAACACAUGCAAGUCGAACGGAAAGGCCUCUUUCGGGGGGUACUCGAGUGGCGAACGGGUGAGUAACACGUGAGUAACCUGCCCUUGACUUUGGGAUAACUUCAGGAAACUGGGGCUAAUACCGGAUAGGAGCUCCUGCUGCAUGGUGGGGGUUGGAAAGUUUCGGCGGUUGGGGAUGGACUCGCGGCUUAUCAGCUUGUUGGUGGGGUAGUGGCUUACCAAGGCUUUUACGGGUAGCCGGCCUGAGAGGGUGACCGGCCACAUUGGGACUGAGAUACGGCCCAGACUCCUGCGGGAGGCAGCAGUGGGGAAUAUUGCACAAUGGGUGGGAGCCUGAUGCAGCAACGCCGUGUGCGGGAUGACGGCCUUCGGGUUGUAAACCGCUUUCGCUCAUGACGAAGCUUUGUGUGACGGUAGUGGGUAAAGAAGCACCGGCUAACUACGUG
This 467-nucleotide ribosomal RNA is filed under the name uncultured bacterium. RNAcentral's name for it is "partial 16S ribosomal RNA". It matches the Rfam family "Bacterial small subunit ribosomal RNA", at positions 28 to 507 of the family's 1533-position model. The record is from RNAcentral.